GAUGAACGCUGGCGGCGUGCCUAAUACAUGCAAGUCGAGCGAACGGACGAGAAGCUUGCUUCUCUGAUGUUGCGGCGGACGGGUGAGUAACACGUGGAUAACCUACCUAUAAGACUGGGAUAACUUCGGGAAACCGGAGCUAAUACCGGAUAAUAUUUUGAACCGCAUGGUUCAAAAGUGAAAGACGGUCUUGCUGUCACUUAUAGAUGGAUCCGCGCUGCAUUAGCUAGUUGGUAAGGUAACGGCUUACCAAGGCAACGAUGCAUAGCCGACCUGAGAGGGUGAUCGGCCACACUGGAACUGAGACACGGUCCAGACUCCUACGGGAGGCAGCAGUAGGGAAUCUUCCGCAAUGGGCGAAAGCCUGACGGAGCAACGCCGCGUGAGUGAUGAAGGUCUUCGGAUCGUAAAACUCUGUUAUUAGGGAAGAACAUAUGUGUAAGUAACUGUGCACAUCUUGACGGUACCUAAUCAGAAAGCCACGGCUAACUACGUG
This 496-nucleotide ribosomal RNA is filed under the name uncultured bacterium. RNAcentral's name for it is "partial 16S ribosomal RNA". It matches the Rfam family "Bacterial small subunit ribosomal RNA", at positions 28 to 507 of the family's 1533-position model. The record is from RNAcentral.